GCAUUUGUACUCUUUGGGUUAAAGUGCCCAACUCAUAAUUGGCGAAUUCGUAGGUUCAAUUCCUACUGGAUGCA
Molecule: transfer RNA, 74 nt
Rfam family: tRNA
About the family: Transfer RNA (tRNA) molecules are approximately 80 nucleotides in length. Their secondary structure includes four short double-helical elements and three loops (D, anti-codon, and T loops).
Source: Rfam